GAUGAGCAUGCGUCCCAUUAGCUAGUUGGUAUGGUAACGGCAUACCAAGGCGACGAUGGGUAGGGGUCCUGAGAGGGAGAUCCCCCACACUGGUACUGAGACACGGACCAGACUCCUACGGGAGGCAGCAGUGAGGAAUAUUGGACAAUGGGCGCAAGCCUGAUCCAGCCAUGCCGCGUGCAGGAUGACGGUCCUAUGGAUUGUAAACUGCUUUUGCACAGGAAGAAACAACUCUACGUGUAGAGUCUUGACGGUACUGUGAGAAUAAGGAUCGGCUAACUCCGUGCCAGCAGCCGCGGUAAUACGGAGGAUCCAAGCGUUAUCCGGAAUCAUUGGGUUUAAAGGGUCCGUAGGCGGUCUUAUAAGUCAGUGGUGAAAUCUCCCCGCUCAACGGGGAAACGGCCAUUGAUACUGUAGGACUUGAAUUAUUAGGAAGUAACUAGAAUAUGUAGUGUAGCGGUGAAAUGCUUAGAGAUUACAUGGAAUACCAAUUGCGAAGGCAGGUUACUACUAAUGGAUUGACGCUGAUGGACGAAAGC
This 539-nucleotide ribosomal RNA is filed under the name uncultured Bacteroidota bacterium. Its description in RNAcentral is "bacterial SSU rRNA". It matches the Rfam family "Bacterial small subunit ribosomal RNA", at positions 224 to 760 of the family's 1533-position model. Lineage: Bacteria; Pseudomonadati; Bacteroidota. The record is from RNAcentral.